RNAcentral lists this unclassified non-coding RNA (254 nucleotides) under uncultured Acidimicrobiia bacterium. RNAcentral describes it as "contains 16S-23S intergenic spacer region". It matches the Rfam family "Bacterial small subunit ribosomal RNA", at positions 524 to 776 of the family's 1533-position model. The record is from RNAcentral. Lineage: Bacteria; Bacillati; Actinomycetota; Acidimicrobiia.
CACGUAGGCACCAAGCGUUGUCCGGAUUUAUUGGGCGUAAAGAGCUCGUAGGCGGUUCGGUAAGUCGGGUGUGAAAACUCUGGGCUCAACCCAGAGAUUGCACUCGAUACUGCCGUGACUAGAGUGCGGUAGGGGAGCGGGGAAUUCCUGGUGUGGCGGUGAAAUGCGCAGAUAUCAGGAGGAACACCAGUGGCGAAGGCGCCGCUCUGGGCCGUAACUGACGCUGAGGAGCGAAUGCGUGGGGAGCAAACAGG